GCAUCCAUGGUUGAAUGGUUAUAUCGCCCAACUCAUAAUUGGCGAAUUCGUAGGUUCAAUUCCUACUAAGAUACU
This 75-nucleotide transfer RNA is filed under the name Lupinus albus (white lupine). Its description in RNAcentral is "tRNA-Met". The stretch from base 7 to 67 matches the Rfam family "tRNA", at positions 7 to 64 of the family's 71-position model. From Rfam's summary of the family: Transfer RNA (tRNA) molecules are approximately 80 nucleotides in length. Their secondary structure includes four short double-helical elements and three loops (D, anti-codon, and T loops). Further hydrogen bonds mediate the characteristic L-shaped molecular structure. tRNAs have two regions of fundamental functional importance: the anti-codon, which is responsible for specific mRNA codon recognition, and the 3' end, to which the tRNAs corresponding amino acid is attached (by aminoacyl-tRNA synthetases). tRNAs cope with the degeneracy of the genetic code in two manners: having more than one tRNA (with a specific anti-codon) for a particular amino acid; and 'wobble' base-pairing, i.e. permitting non-standard base-pairing at the 3rd anti-codon position. Lineage: Eukaryota; Viridiplantae; Streptophyta; Magnoliopsida; Fabales; Fabaceae. The record is from RNAcentral.